UCUGGCGGCUAUUGCGUAGGGGAAACACCUCUUCCCAUUCCGAACAGAGUAGUUAAGCUCUACCGCGUCAAUGGUACUGCAUGGGCAACUGUGUGGGAGAGUAGAUCGUCGCCAGAU
This 117-nucleotide ribosomal RNA is filed under the name Ignavibacteriota bacterium. The record is from RNAcentral. RNAcentral also lists the same sequence under 1 other name. Lineage: Bacteria; Pseudomonadati; Ignavibacteriota.